CGCAGCUGUAUCCCUUCUAGACUUCACCGCGUGAACGAGUGGUGAACGCGCAUAGGAUUCAAGCGUUUUUCCGGUCGUUGUCCUGGAUACGCGUGCUGUGUUUCCGGUUAUGAUCAGAUGCUAACUCCGCUAACGGGCUGUCUGUGUUUUUACUUCAUCAGAUUUACGUUAAACAGAGAUAAACGAUGACCGCGAGUCGACGCUGUGUGGACAGAAUAUUGUCUAUCGUUCUGCUGUCGGUGGUUCUGCUGUCGUGGGGCUUCGUCAUCUAUGGCACACGGAUCGCAGCGCAGUGGGAGCUGCAGAAGAGAGAGAAAACACAGACCACAAUCAGCAAACAACACUGAAUAAACAACGGCCUGAAGCCUGACAUACAUACACACACAGAGACAGCGUUUAAUAUUAAUACACAUUUAAUAUGUGACUUCUUCUAACUGUGUGUGUGUUUCAAUGAUUUGCUAGAUCUCAAAUGUUUACUUCAGUCUUGUUACAUUAAUCAUGGAAACUUUCAUGUUUGAUUUUUUUCAUUUUGUGACCCUGUGUUUUUGUGUUCAGCCACUAGAUGGUGUAGUGCACUAGAAAGACUGUACACUGAACAGGGCUCGAGGGAAAACAGCCCAGAAUAUUCCACAACUUUUAAUGAUGUUAAUAAUGCUGCGUUCAUGAAGAAGAUCACGAUACACGCUUUAAAAAUACAGUGUAAUAUAUAACUAAUGUUUGAUAUGAAUAAAUUCUUUUUAUAGAAGUGUUUUUGCAAACCUUUAUAUAUGUUUUUUAGAUUUCAUCAAUACUUUGAAUUAAAUUAGUUUUUUAUAUUUACUGUGUGCAUCGUUUUGUUAAUUUUAUUGUUAGUGUUUACUAAAAUGGUGAUAUUUACUGAAAUGGUUUUAAAGUUCUAUUAAUUUUAAGUUAUUUAAUACAUGAUAAAGUGAACAUACACAUUUAUGUAAAUAAAGUUUUGUGUAUCUUAUUUGGAAGUAGAUUAUAGGACCAAGCAAUAAAAAAUGAAACCAUUAUGAGAUUAAACUUAUUAAACAGAUAUAAAGUUUGUCCUCAGAAUGUAAUUGGCUUAACAUAAUUGAUUUAUACUUUGUUUCUUCAAAUUAUUAUUUUUUUCUCCUAAAAACAAUGAUUUUAUUCUGAAAAUGAGUUUAUUCUCAACAUUUUAUUUAGACUUUUCUGUUUAAAAUUAAAUGACUUUUUUCUUAAAACACUGACUAU
Molecule: long non-coding RNA, 1221 nt
Filed under: Danio rerio (zebrafish)
Lineage: Eukaryota; Metazoa; Chordata; Actinopteri; Cypriniformes; Danionidae
Description: lncRNA (ENSDARG00000117552.1)
Source: RNAcentral